AUUCUACAAUGACUUUUUUGUAAAUACUUGAUUCAUUCGAGGGUUAUCACAUAUGGCAUUCUGUUGGAAGCCCUAGCGGAAUCUCAAAUGAAAAUUCUCUCAAAACAACUACGUUCAUCCCGUUCCCCCUUGCUCUCUCUCCGAUUUCACAGAACCUGUCUCUCUCUCUCACACACACUCUCUCUCUCUCUCUCCACAAAGACCCGUUGCUCUACGAGAAAGGUCGUCAAAUCGCAAUGCAGGGUGAUAUAGAUCGAGCCGGGGAAGGUCGUCAGGAAGUGCGAGAAGAUUGAGGAGAUCCUCAGGGCUGCCUCAGAAGUUGAGGUGUACGUGAGGUUUGAGUGACUCUUUUUUGCUAAGAAAUUGGGGCUGUUGAGAAUCAUCAUGUUGCCCUCUUGGAUGCUCAAUUUACUAUGUGAGCCAAGAAGAGGGCAUUCAAGUCAGGGAGGUGGGCAAUGAUGUAAAGACUUGAUGAGGCUUAUGUCCUACAACACAAGCUGUCUUCGAAAUCAUCCUCACCCAUGAACAAAGCUCUCUCCAAGAGCUCUAGCACAACAUCUUAUCGAUUUAACGGGAACAAAGCUCUCCCUAUCCAAAAGUUUAAGGGCCACGAUAAUCCUCACCUUAUCAUUAGCAACAACCAACAACCUUCUUAUUGACUGGUAACUUUGUAAUCCUAAUAUGUUAAGUAGGCAUUGAUUAUGAGCCGCAAUUUAUUCAAUCAAGGUGUCUAUUUUUAAGCGCAACUCCUACUAUGUCAAGAGAAUUAUCCUAUGGCUUUUAAUUUUAUCUGAGGCUUA
Long non-coding RNA from Rhododendron vialii, 800 nucleotides. RefSeq lists it as uncharacterized. Lineage: Eukaryota; Viridiplantae; Streptophyta; Magnoliopsida; Ericales; Ericaceae. The transcript has 4 exons. The record is from RefSeq and is a predicted model, not a curated record.